GGAAGUAACUCUUGUUGUUCCUUGACAAUGCACCUCCAAUGUGUUUGCUCUUCAAAUUCGACAUGAUCUGCUAGUUAUUUGGCUAUCUUGUGCAUAAAUUUAAAUUUCUUUCUAGUAGAAGUAAAGGACAACCAUUUGAUAUUGCGGAGUGAACCUUUUCCCUUAACUGAAACAUCUUGCUGAUGUAGAUCGAUAUUUUUUGUCCUGUGUAAAUCCCCU
This 219-nucleotide long non-coding RNA is filed under the name Brachypodium distachyon (stiff brome). RNAcentral's name for it is "long non-coding RNA (BDIS_LNC001236)". Lineage: Eukaryota; Viridiplantae; Streptophyta; Magnoliopsida; Poales; Poaceae. The record is from RNAcentral.